GGGGUUGUGGUUCAGUGGUAGAACACUUGCCUAGCAUGCAUGAGGCCCUGGGUUCGAUCCCCAGCACCA
Molecule: transfer RNA, 69 nt
Filed under: Ictidomys tridecemlineatus (thirteen-lined ground squirrel)
Lineage: Eukaryota; Metazoa; Chordata; Mammalia; Rodentia; Sciuridae
Description: Spermophilus tridecemlineatus (thirteen-lined ground squirrel) tRNA
Rfam family: tRNA
About the family: Transfer RNA (tRNA) molecules are approximately 80 nucleotides in length.
Source: Rfam by way of RNAcentral